AAAAAAAAACUGGAAACCAAUAAGUGCCGAAUCCAAGCGCACUGACUUCGCUCUCGCUGCCUGAUCAGCGUUAGCAGUCUGGAACCCCGGGCUUGCUCCUGACCCGGAUCGUUCCAUCAUCUAAGGAGCCACUGCUGCCGACCCUCGUCAUCGGGGAAGGAUGAACACUUCAGAGUGACUGAGUCCGUCGACGACGUGUUCGUGCGAGCGUCGGGACUGAGAAAACGAUAAUACGGACUGCGCCCGGAGAAGCUCUUGCUCCGCACUAUCGGACGCGGGUUCGAUUCCCGCCGGC
RNAcentral lists this transfer-messenger RNA (295 nucleotides) under Variovorax sp. KBW07. RNAcentral describes it as "partial transfer-messenger RNA". It matches the Rfam family "transfer-messenger RNA", at positions 70 to 367 of the family's 374-position model. From Rfam's summary of the family: Bacterial tmRNA, also known as 10Sa RNA or SsrA, is named for its dual tRNA and mRNA-like properties. The record is from RNAcentral. Lineage: Bacteria; Pseudomonadati; Pseudomonadota; Betaproteobacteria; Burkholderiales; Comamonadaceae.